Molecule: transfer RNA, 74 nt
Filed under: Nicotiana sylvestris (wood tobacco)
Lineage: Eukaryota; Viridiplantae; Streptophyta; Magnoliopsida; Solanales; Solanaceae
Also listed under: 1 other name
Rfam family: tRNA
About the family: Transfer RNA (tRNA) molecules are approximately 80 nucleotides in length. Their secondary structure includes four short double-helical elements and three loops (D, anti-codon, and T loops).
Source: Rfam by way of RNAcentral
UCCGUUGUAGUCUAGUUUGUCAGGAUAUUCAGCUCUCACCUGAAAGACCCGGGGUUCAAGUCCCGGCAACAGAA